This 27-nucleotide small RNA is filed under the name Bombyx mori (domestic silkworm). RNAcentral's name for it is "ovarian small RNA-14146". The record is from RNAcentral. Lineage: Eukaryota; Metazoa; Arthropoda; Insecta; Lepidoptera; Bombycidae.
CGAAUCGAAGGUUCUGAAACGUCGGCC